This 249-nucleotide ribosomal RNA is filed under the name uncultured Aquicella sp. Its description in RNAcentral is "partial 16S ribosomal RNA". It matches the Rfam family "Bacterial small subunit ribosomal RNA", at positions 355 to 596 of the family's 1533-position model. The record is from RNAcentral. Lineage: Bacteria; Pseudomonadati; Pseudomonadota; Gammaproteobacteria; Legionellales; Coxiellaceae.
UGGGGAAUAUUGGACAAUGGGGGCAACCCUGAUCCAGCGAUGCCGCGUGGGUGAAGAAGGCCUUCGGGUUGUAAAGCCCUUUAGGUUGGGACGAAGUGUAUAAGUUUAAGAGAUGUAUACAUUGACGGUACCGACAGAAUAAGCACCGGCAAACUCUGUGCCAGCAGCCGCGGUAAUACAGAGGGGGCGAGCGUUAAUCGGAAUUACUGGGCGUAAAGGGCGCGUAGGCGGGAGAAAGGGUGUGAUGUG